UGCAGUCAAGGAGAAAUUAUCUUCGGAUAGUAAGUAAACUGGCGAACGGGUGAGUAACGCGUAAACAACUUGCCUCAGAGAUUGGGACAACAUUGGGAAACCAGUGCUAAUACCAAAUAAUGCAGCGGGCUCUUCGGAGCACAGUUGUUAAAGUAGGCUUCGGCUUACACUUUGAGAUAGGUUUGCGUCCGAUUAGUUAGUUGGUAGGGUAAUUGCCUACCAAGACCAAGAUCGGUAGCUGGUCUGAGAGGAUGAUCAGCCACACUGGAAUUGAGAUACGGUCCAGACUCCUACGGGAGGCAGCAGUAAGGAAUUUUGCACAAUGGGCGAAAGCCUGAUGCAGCAACGCCGCGUGAACGAUGAAGUUUUUAGGAAUGUAAAGUUCUGUCGUAUGGGAAGAGAUCUUUCGAAUGUUAAUACCAUUCGUUAAUGACGGUACCAUACAAGAAAGCACCGGCUAACUUCGUGCCAGCAGCCGCGGUAAUACGAGGGGUGCUAGCGUUGUCCGGAUUUACUGGGCGUAAAGGGUACGUAGGCGUUUUAAUAAGUUGUAUGUUAAAUAUCUUAGCUUAACUAAGAAAGUGCAUCCAAAACUGUUAAAAUAGAGUUUGAGAGAGGAACGCAGAAUUCAUGGUGGAGCGGUGACAUGCGUAGAUAUCAUGAGGAAAGUCAAAUGCGAAGGCAGCCUUCUGGCUCAAAACUGACGCUGAGGUACGAAAGCGUGGGGAGCGAACAGGAUUAGAUACCCUGGUAGUCCACGCCGUAAACGAUGAGUAUUUGGUGC
RNAcentral lists this ribosomal RNA (784 nucleotides) under uncultured marine bacterium. RNAcentral describes it as "bacterial SSU rRNA". It matches the Rfam family "Bacterial small subunit ribosomal RNA", at positions 56 to 823 of the family's 1533-position model. The record is from RNAcentral.